CCACAUGGAUCCACUGUGCCUACAAAAUUCACUCCCUCCCCCCUCCCUCACCCUUCUCCACUCGCGUCCGAACCCCAACAUCCUCCUCACAACGCAACACACAACUCAUCACUAUAUUCCAUGUAGAGAAAGUCCGUGCACUCGUGUAUGGGAGGAGGAGAGAGCUCGGUGGGGCCCCUGGUGCCCUCGGUGAAGUCCGAACCGACGCCGUCCGAUGCCGUCGCGGCGGCGCUGCCCUCUCCGCCGCACGAGGAGGCGGCAGCGGAGGAGAGUGAGCUGGACAGGGAUUUCCUGUGCCCUAUCUGCAUGCAGGUCAUUAAGGACGCGUUUCUGACGGCUUGUGGACACAGCUUUUGCUACAUGUGCAUCGCGACUCAUCUUCAGAACAAGCGCGAUUGCCCUUGUUGCGCCCAUUAUCUCACCCCCAAGCACAUUUUCCCCAAUUUCCUUCUCAAUAAGCUAUUGAAGAAGACUUCUGCUCGUCAAAUAGCAAGACAUGGAACUCCUUUUGAACAGCUUCGUCAGGCAUUGCGAGAGGGUUGUGAGGUGUCAGUUAAGGAGCUAGAUAGCCUCUUGUCUGUGCUUAUAGAGAAGAAGAGAAAAAUGGAGCAAGAAGAAGCUGAGACAAAUAUGCAGAUUCUACACGAUUUUUUGCAUUGCCUAAGGAAGCAAAAGCUUGAAGAGCUUAGUCAGAUACAAAAUGAUCUGCAAUAUAUUAAGGAAGAUAUAAAUUCAGUAGAGAGGCAUAGAAUGGACUUAUAUCGAGCAAAAGAGAGAUAUACAGUGAAAUUGAGGAUGCUUAUGAAUGACCCUUCUGCAACGAACGCAUGUCCUUCUUUGAUUGAUAGACGCAGCUGUGGCACAAUCUCUGGUCUACCCAGUGUACAGGACCAAUGCCAAAUGAAUCCUGGCAAUUCACAGAGUAGGAAAGCUGAUGUAAAUACUCUUGUAAGCUCUCAUACGAACCAAAGAAAGGAUGCGCAUGGUGGGUCCAAUUCACAACAUGUUACUCAAUCGGGCCUUGCACUAGCAAGAAAAAAGAGGGUCCUUGCACAGUUCAAUGACCUUCAAGAGUGUUACUUGCAAAAGCGACGACAUGGGGCUAGACAGUCUUACAAACCAGAAGCAAGGGAUGUGAAUGCCAUGAAUCGAGAAGGUUAUCAUGCAGGACUUGAAGAUUUCCAGUCUGUCCUUUCGACCUUUACACGAUACAGCCGAUUGAGAGUCAUUGCUGAGGUUAGGCAUGGAGAUCUUUUCCACUCGGCCAACAUUGUAUCAAGCAUAGAAUUUGAUCGAGAUGAUGAAUUGUUUGCUACUGCCGGAGUUUCGAGGCGCAUCAAGGUCUUUGAAUUUGCUUCGGUGGUAAAUGAGUCAGCAGAUGUGCAAUGUCCAGUUGUGGAAAUGUCCACGCGGUCUAAACUUAGUUGCCUAAGCUGGAAUAAGUAUACAAAGAACCAUAUUGCCAGUAGCGAUUAUGAGGGGAUAGUAACUGUGUGGGAUGUAACUACUCGUCAGAGUGUGAUGGAGUACGAAGAACAUGAAAAACGAGCAUGGAGCGUAGAUUUUUCGCGCACUGAACCUUCAAUGCUGGUAUCCGGCAGUGAUGACUGCAAGGUAAAAAUUUGGUGCAUAAAACAGGAGGCUAGUGUUCUGAAUAUUGACAUGAAAGCCAAUAUAUGUUCUGUCAAGUAUAAUCCGGGAUCUAGCAUUCACGUCGCGGUAGGUUCUGCGGAUCACAACAUUCAUUAUUAUGACUUGAGAAAUGUCAGCCAACCACUGCAUGUUUUCAGUGGACACAGGAAAGCUGUUUCAUAUGUAAAAUUUCUGUCCAACAAUGAACUUGCUUCAGCGUCUACUGACAGCACAUUGCGAUUAUGGGAUGUCAAAGAAAAUCUUCCAUCGGUGUUGGUGUGAUGAGUGUCUCUGGAGGGGAGGGCAGGAUGUGCUACACUGGAAUGUAUGCAUUGUGAAGAAAAGAACGUAAUUUUUGGAGGAAUGGAGCUCCUCUGCAGUCCAAUUCUGGACUGAAUUGUGUCUGUGAGGCCCAUCAUGGAUUCCAUUUGAAUGAUCCAAGCUGUUCCUUCUCUCUGUCCAGACUUCAGACGUGUUGAUCAGCCACAGGAAAAUAUCACUUAAAUGGAGGAGCCAGUUUGACUGAAUCACACUUGUCUUUGAAAACAGGGAGGUGAAACCAUUAAUUUACUCCAUGACGAGUGUGGUUAGGUCAUGAACCUACCGAUAUUUUUUCAAGAAAACCAACUUACCUUGUGAGAUUGUCUGAUCUCUACUGUGGACUGACCUUGAUUAGAACACUUCUUUUAUUGAAAAAUCCCAAAGUUCUAGAAUCCAACUAAUCUGUCCCCCUUUUCUUGUUUUUCCACCUCUCAGCUUCGCACAUUUAGAGGCCAUUCGAAUGAGAAGAAUUUUGUCGGUCUCACGGUAAACAGUGAAUACAUCGCUUGUGGCAGUGAAACAAAUGAAGUUUUUGUCUAUCAGAAGGCCAUCUCUAAACCAGCAGCUUGGCAUAGGUUUGCUUCUUCGGACUCGGAGGAAGCUGAAGACGAUGCUGGAUCGUAUUUCAUUAGUGCUGUUUGUUGGAAAAGUGAUAGCCCAAC
RNA transcript from Rhododendron vialii, 2615 nucleotides. It is a transcript of the gene named E3 ubiquitin-protein ligase COP1-like, with no coding region annotated. Lineage: Eukaryota; Viridiplantae; Streptophyta; Magnoliopsida; Ericales; Ericaceae. The record is from RefSeq and is a predicted model, not a curated record. The transcript has 13 exons.